Molecule: unclassified non-coding RNA, 347 nt
Filed under: soil metagenome
Description: partial contains 5.8S ribosomal RNA, internal transcribed spacer 2, and large subunit ribosomal RNA
Rfam family: 5.8S ribosomal RNA (bases 1-120)
Source: RNAcentral
GAUGAAGAACGCAGCGAAAUGCGAUAAGUAGUGUGAAUUGCAGAAUUCCGUGAAUCAUCGAAUCUUUGAACGCACAUUGCGCCUCCUGGUAGUCCGGGAGGCAUGCCUGUUCGAGCGUCACCAAAUCCAACUCAAGCGGUUUUGCGCUUGGUCGUGGCGGAAGAGUCGGUCUGGUUGCCGUCUCCCCUCCGAAAAUCAACGGCGGAAAGUCACUGGCAGUCAGCGUAGUAGUAUCGUUCGCCGAACAUCCAGUGGCAUCCCUGCCGACGUACCCCCACAAUUCUCGUGAUUGACCUCGGAUCAGGUAGGGAUACCCGCUGAACUUAAGCAUAUCAAUAAGCGGAGGA